Molecule: ribosomal RNA, 433 nt
Filed under: uncultured bacterium
Lineage: Bacteria
Description: partial 16S ribosomal RNA
Rfam family: Bacterial small subunit ribosomal RNA
Source: RNAcentral
AACGAACGCUGGCGGCAUGCCUAACACAUGCAAGUCGAACGAGACCUUCGGGUCUAGUGGCGCACGGGUGCGUAACGCGUGGGAACCUGCCCUUAGGUUCGGAAUAACUCCCCGAAAGGGGUGCUAAUACCGGAUAAUGUCUUCGGACCAAAGAUUUAUCGCCUUUGGAUGGGCCCGCGUUGGCUUAGCUAGUUGGUAGGGUAAAAGCCUACCAAGGCGACGAUCCAUAGCUGGUCUGAGAGGCUGGUCAGCCACGCUGGGACGGAGCCACGGCCCAGACUCCUACGGGAGGCAGCAGUGGGGAAUAUUGGACAAUGGGCGAAAGCCUGAUCCAGCAAUGCCGCGUGAGUGAUGAAGGCCUUAGGGUUGUAAAGCUCUUUUACCCGGGAUGAUAAUGACAGUACCGGGAGAAUAAGCUCCGGCUAACUCCGUG